AAAUGUUGGGAGAUGGAAAAAAUAGGUUUUUGGGAGAGGGUGGGGGUGUGUGCGUUUUGCCUAAUAUUAUCACGAUGGCCUCGAGGGUUUUUGGGUGGGAACGAGGGGAUGACAAAUUUUUGAUGUUAUUAAAUUUCCUUUUUAAAAACGUCUAUUGGGUAAGUAUCCCAUGCAUUCAUAACCUUCACAUCCUUUCCUUGCAACUUCAUCAGCGACCCUUUAUAUUGCUU
RNAcentral lists this unclassified non-coding RNA (230 nucleotides) under Hevea brasiliensis (rubber tree). The record is from RNAcentral. Lineage: Eukaryota; Viridiplantae; Streptophyta; Magnoliopsida; Malpighiales; Euphorbiaceae.